UACGUAGGGGGCAAGCGUUGUUCGGAAUUACUGGGCGUAAAGGGCGCGUAGGCGGCACAGCAAGUCGGGAGUGAAAGCCCGGGGCUCAACCCCGGAAUGUCUUUCGAAACUGCUGAGCUAGAGUGCGGAAGAGGCAACUGGAAUUCCCAGUGUAGCGGUGAAAUGCGUAGAUAUUGGGAAGAACACCUGAGGCGAAGGCGGGUUGCUGGGCCGACACUGACGCUGAGGCGCGAAAGCCAGGGGAGCGAACGGG
This 253-nucleotide ribosomal RNA is filed under the name uncultured bacterium. RNAcentral describes it as "partial 16S ribosomal RNA". It matches the Rfam family "Bacterial small subunit ribosomal RNA", at positions 524 to 776 of the family's 1533-position model. The record is from RNAcentral.